This 496-nucleotide ribosomal RNA is filed under the name uncultured bacterium. Its description in RNAcentral is "partial 16S ribosomal RNA". It matches the Rfam family "Bacterial small subunit ribosomal RNA", at positions 29 to 507 of the family's 1533-position model. The record is from RNAcentral.
AUGAACGCUGGCGGCGUGCCUAAUACAUGCAAGUCGAGCGCACAGAUGAGGAGCUUGCUCCUCUGACGUUAGCGGCGGACGGGUGGGUAACACGUGGAUAACCUACCUAUAAGACUGGGAUAACUUCGGGAAACCGGAGCUAAUACCGGAUAAUAUAUUGAACCGCAUGGUUCAAUAGUGAAAGACGGUUUUGCUGUCACUUAUAGAUGGAUCCGCGCCGCAUUAGCUAGUUGGUAAGGUAACGGCUUACCAAGGCAACGAUGCGUAGCCGACCUGAGAGGGUGAUCGGCCACACUGGAACUGAGACACGGUCCAGACUCCUACGGGAGGCAGCAGUAGGGAAUCUUCCGCAAUGGGCGAAAGCCUGACGGAGCAACGCCGCGUGAGUGAUGAAGGUCUUCGGAUCGUAAAACUCUGUUAUUAGGGAAGAACAAAUGUGUAAGUAACUAUGCACGUCUUGACGGUACCUAAUCAGAAAGCCACGGCUAACUACGUG